AAUCCAUAGGUUAAUGAGGCGAACCGGGGGAACUGAAACAUCUAAGUACCCCGAGGAAAAGAAAUCAACCGAGAUUCCCCCAGUAGCGGCGAGCGAACGGGGAGGAGCCCAGAGCCUGAAUCAGCAUGUGUGUUAGUGGAAGCGUCUGGAAAGGCGCGCGAUACAGGGUGACAGCCCCGUACACAAAAGCGCAUGUGCUGUGAGCUCGAUGAGUAGGGCGGGACACGUGGUAUCCUGUCUGAAUAUGGGGGGACCAUCCUCCAAGGCUAAAUACUCCUGACUGACCGAUAGUGAACCAGUACCGUGAGGGAAAGGCGAAAAGAACCCCGGCGAGGGGAGUGAAAAAGAACCUGAAACCGUGUACGUACAAGCAGUGGGAGCACAGGUUUACCUGUGUGACUGCGUACCUUUUGUAUAAUGGGUCAGCGACUUAUAUUCUGUAGCAAGGUUAACCGAAUAGGGGAGCCGGAGGGAAACCGAGUCUU
Molecule: ribosomal RNA, 485 nt
Filed under: Salmonella enterica
Lineage: Bacteria; Pseudomonadati; Pseudomonadota; Gammaproteobacteria; Enterobacterales; Enterobacteriaceae
Also listed under: 2 other names
Description: partial 23S ribosomal RNA
Rfam family: Bacterial large subunit ribosomal RNA
Source: RNAcentral